UACGUAGGUGGCAAGCGUUGUCCGGAUUUAUUGGGCGUAAAGGGCGCGCAGGCGGUUCGUUUAGUCCGAGGUGAAAUCUCCCGGCUCAACUGGGAGGGGUCUUUGGAUACUGGCGGACUUGAGGUGAGCAGAGGUGAGCGGAAUUCUGGGUGUAGUGGUGAAAUGCGUAGAUAUCCAGAGGAACACCAGUGGCGAAGGCGGCUCACUGGGCUCCACCUGACGCUGAGGCGCGAAAGCGUGGGGAGCAAACAGG
This 253-nucleotide ribosomal RNA is filed under the name uncultured bacterium. Its description in RNAcentral is "partial 16S ribosomal RNA". It matches the Rfam family "Bacterial small subunit ribosomal RNA", at positions 524 to 776 of the family's 1533-position model. The record is from RNAcentral.